Labeo rohita (rohu) is the source of this 928-nucleotide long non-coding RNA. RefSeq lists it as uncharacterized. The transcript has 4 exons. The record is from RefSeq and is a predicted model, not a curated record. Lineage: Eukaryota; Metazoa; Chordata; Actinopteri; Cypriniformes; Cyprinidae.
UGCUUUCUGUAUCAAAGACCAUCCAAAAGAAAAUUAUAAUUUUCUUUUAAUAAACAAGUGGUUAAUUUUCUUUAGGUCCUGACUGCCAAUGAACCAGGCAAUGAUUCACAGGUGGAGAGAUAGUCUGGGCAGCACCAAGCCGACAACUAUUAUGAUUAUGAGUAGGGAUGACUAUCGAGAACAGAAAUAACUGCAUAUCAUCCAAACCAUCUCCAAAUGAAUGGCUGCAAGGAUCCAGGAUCAAGAGAUAAUCCAUCAUGAAAACUGUUUCAUAGGAAUCAGCGAAUCCUGGGCCUGCCUGACCAUUCUGUUGCCCUAGACGUGAAGACACGCUGGAACUGCAUUUCUCAUGGUUGGAAGAGUUGCGCAUCGAUAUCCAGACAUACAAGUGUUACGAAUCUGGUCGGUGACCUGCGGUCCGCUCACCAGCAGAUGUCGCUUUCGCUCCAUUAUUUCACACAGACUGUUGUAUUACACCCCGGACUCCAUCUCCCGUCAUGCAGCGCGAUCAGGCGCGCUAUAAAGCCCCGGUCUUACCCCAUGCAAGUCAUGGAGUAUUGUUGUUGUCAUUAUUAUUGUUAGCGUUUCUUAGUUCCCUUGUUCCUAGUUCCCUGUGUAUAGCUUUCUCGGCUGGCCUCCUUGUCUCGACUGUCUCGCCGCCUGCGUACUGGACUCUUGCUCGUUUUUUUGGAUUAUUUUCUACGUCUUGCCUGUUGAAUACCUGUUUGCUCCUGUUUUGACCCUGCCUGUACGACUAUGUCUUUGUCUGGUCCUAUCAAUAAAAGCUCGCAGAUGGAUCCGCUGGCCUCUCGCCUCUCACUCCCCGUUACAACAAGAAGCCUUCCUGGACCCACACGACAAAAUGCUCAGGAGGAGAGGCAGGUAAUCCACAGGGUUGGAUUUUACAACUGACUCAUAAGUAGAUAGA